This 497-nucleotide ribosomal RNA is filed under the name uncultured bacterium. Its description in RNAcentral is "partial 16S ribosomal RNA". It matches the Rfam family "Bacterial small subunit ribosomal RNA", at positions 28 to 507 of the family's 1533-position model. The record is from RNAcentral.
GAUGAACGCUGGCGGCGUGCCUAAUACAUGCGAGUCGAGCGAACAGAUGAGGAGCUUGCUCCUCUGACGUUAGCGGCGGACGGGUGAGUAACACGUGGAUAACCUACCUAUAAGACUGGGAUAACUUCGGGAAACCGGAGCUAAUACCGGAUAAUAUAUUGAACCGCAUGGUUCAAUAGUGAAAGACGGUUUUGCUGUCACUUAUAGAUGGAUCCGCGCCGCAUUAGCUAGUUGGUAAGGUAACGGCUUACCAAGGCAACGAUGCGUAGCCGACCUGAGAGGUUGAUCGGCCACACUGGAACUGAGACACGGUCCAGACUCCUACGGGAGGCAGCAGUAGGGAAUCUUCCGCAAUGGGCGAAAGCCUGACGGAGCAACGCCGCGUGAGUGAUGAAGGUCUUCGGAUCGUAAAACUCUGUUAUUAGGGAAGAACAAAUGUGUAAGUAACUAUGCACGUCUUGACGGUACCUAAUCAGAAAGCCACGGCUAACUACGUG